This 492-nucleotide ribosomal RNA is filed under the name uncultured bacterium. RNAcentral's name for it is "partial 16S ribosomal RNA". It matches the Rfam family "Bacterial small subunit ribosomal RNA", at positions 29 to 507 of the family's 1533-position model. The record is from RNAcentral.
AGUGAACGCUGGCGGUAGGCCUAACACAUGCAAGUCGAACGGCAGCACAGUAAGAGCUUGCUCUUACGGGUGGCGAGUGGCGGACGGGUGAGGAAUACAUCGGAAUCUACUUUUUCGUGGGGGAUAACGUAGGGAAACUUACGCUAAUACCGCAUACGACCUACGGGUGAAAGCAGGGGAUCUUCGGACCUUGCGCGAUUGAAUGAGCCGAUGUCGGAUUAGCUAGUUGGCGGGGUAAAGGCCCACCAAGGCGACGAUCCGUAGCUGGUCUGAGAGGAUGAUCAGCCACACUGGAACUGAGACACGGUCCAGACUCCUACGGGAGGCAGCAGUGGGGAAUAUUGGACAAUGGGCGCAAGCCUGAUCCAGCCAUCCCGCGUGGGUGAAGACGGCCUUCGGGUUGUAAAGCCCUUUUGUUGGGAAAGAAAAGCAGCAGGUUAAUACCCCGCUGUUCUGACGGUACCCAAAGAAUAAGCACCGGCUAACUUCGUG